GAUGAACGCUGGCGGCGUGCCUAAUACAUGCAAGUCGAGCGAACAGACGAGGAGCUUGCUCCUUUGACGUUAGCGGCGGACGGGUGAGUAACACGUAGGUAACCUACCUAUAAGACUGGGAUAACUUCGGGAAACCGGAGCUAAUACCGGAUAAUAUUUCGAACCGCAUGGUUCGAUAGUGAAAGAUGGCUUUGCUAUCACUUAUAGAUGGACCUGCGCCGUAUUAGCUAGUUGGUAAGGUACCGGCUUACCAAGGCAACGAUACGUAGCCGACCUGAGAGUGUGAUCGGCCACACUGGGACUGAGACACGGUCCAGACUCCUACGGGAGGCAGCAGUAGGGAAUCUUCCGCAAUGGGCGAAAGCCUGACGGAGCAACGCCGCGUGAGUGAUGAAGGUCUUCGGAUCGUAAAACUCUGUUAUUAGGGAAGAACAAACGUGUAAGUAACUGUGCACGUCUUGACGGUACCUAAUCAGAAAGCCACGGCUAACUACGUG
Molecule: ribosomal RNA, 497 nt
Filed under: uncultured bacterium
Lineage: Bacteria
Description: partial 16S ribosomal RNA
Rfam family: Bacterial small subunit ribosomal RNA
Source: RNAcentral